Molecule: ribosomal RNA, 253 nt
Filed under: uncultured bacterium
Lineage: Bacteria
Description: partial 16S ribosomal RNA
Rfam family: Bacterial small subunit ribosomal RNA
Source: RNAcentral
UACGAAGGGGGCUAGCGUUGUUCGGAAUCACUGGGCGUAAAGCGCACGUAGGCGGAUUUGUUAGUCAGGGGUGAAAUCCCGGAGCUCAACUCCGGAACUGCCUUUGAUACUGCAAGUCUCGAGUCCGAUAGAGGUGGGUGGAAUUCCUAGUGUAGAGGUGAAAUUCGUAGAUAUUAGGAAGAACACCGGUGGCGAAGGCGGCCCACUGGAUCGGUACUGGCGCUGAGGUGCGAAAGCGUGGGGAGCAAACAGG